AGAUCUUGCUUGGGAAACUUAUACAACAAAAGAUACUAACGUGGAGGAACAUUACCAAAGAUGUGCAACAUGUUCCACUUUGUUUUGCUGCCAAAGGUAAACCACCACCAGCCAAUAUAUAUAGACAUGGAUGUCCAACCAAUCCCUUUUGGACUGCCAAGCCCUUGGCUUCUUCAGUAAAAUUGAGGGCCCACUACAAUUCGUUCUUGUCUUGUUGUCUUCGGACAACAGUGAAUCAUGCCAUCUUCAUCUGCCCCACGCAAAAUUGAACAUCAAAAUUCUAAGUUUUGCUCUUAUUCACUGCGCCGCCCGUCUUCGCCUCGCCCGACGUCCCGUCUUCGCCUCGCC
Daphnia carinata is the source of this 348-nucleotide long non-coding RNA. RefSeq lists it as uncharacterized. Lineage: Eukaryota; Metazoa; Arthropoda; Branchiopoda; Diplostraca; Daphniidae. The transcript has 4 exons. The record is from RefSeq and is a predicted model, not a curated record.